Long non-coding RNA from Hemibagrus wyckioides, 336 nucleotides. RefSeq lists it as uncharacterized. The record is from RefSeq and is a predicted model, not a curated record. Lineage: Eukaryota; Metazoa; Chordata; Actinopteri; Siluriformes; Bagridae. The transcript has 3 exons.
UCUCUCCAGCUGCAGCUCUCCUCUGUUCCUUCACUUCAUCACACUCUCACAGCAAAAAGACACAAGAAACUUCAGCCGCCAUUUCCCGCAGGACCACACCUGAGUGACGUCACGAGGCGGAAGCCGUGCACAGACAAGACCAGCUGCAGGAGAACCGGGCUGCAGGAGAACCGAGCUGCAGGAGAACCAGGCUGCAGGGGAACCGAGCUGCAGAGGUCAGUAAAGCGUGCUGGACCAAUGCGUCUCUCUCCUCUACCUGCCAGUUUGGUGUUGAGUAUCUGCUCGUACUCCUCGCGGAUCUUCUCUUCAUGGUCUUUCAGGAUGCGCUCACACAGG